UUUCGCAACAACCGACAUCAGGAAAACAUUUUGUGGCUAUUCUCUCCUGAAAUCAAAUGCUGUGCCUUCGACUGCCCAAACAGCUUCAAGAUCUUCUGAUAAACAGGUAAGAUCUGCUGUACCACAGUCCACGCCAGUGAAGGAUACCACAUCAACAUCAGGCCAGCCGAGGACAAUUCAACAAUCAUCACGAGUGACCUGGAGGUAUACCACAGUGCGAUGCUGAAGUACACCCAAAAGAGGCUCCACUUUGUCUAUAACUCCAUGAAGGCAAGGACACUAAUGUCUGUUAUGGACCACAAUGAAAAUGUCGGGCGCCAGCAACAGAGGAACGCUGAUGGUAGGCUUACUCAUACGUCAUGGACCAAAUUGAAAUCUGUCAACAUUUGUCCCAUUACAAUUGCACUCUACCUUUCUUAUCGUGUACAUAUCUCUAUCAAAUUUACUCUAUUAGGCACUUUGAAAUACAGCUCGGAGUUUCCAAAGCAAA
This is a long non-coding RNA of Corythoichthys intestinalis (scribbled pipefish), 490 nucleotides long. RefSeq lists it as uncharacterized. Lineage: Eukaryota; Metazoa; Chordata; Actinopteri; Syngnathiformes; Syngnathidae. The transcript has 3 exons. The record is from RefSeq and is a predicted model, not a curated record.